RNAcentral lists this long non-coding RNA (805 nucleotides) under Mytilus galloprovincialis (Mediterranean mussel). The record is from RNAcentral. Lineage: Eukaryota; Metazoa; Mollusca; Bivalvia; Mytilida; Mytilidae.
AUGCGUAAAGUGAUAUAACUUAUUUACCAUACAUAUUAGAGACCUAGGGUCUUUUGAUUUGAGAUCCUUGGUCCAAAAAAAUGAAAAUUAGGUCAAGGUCAAAGGUCAAGGUCAUAUUCUAAAUUUUGAUUUUGGCUUAUUUUCACUCAUUUUCAUUAACCUUAUAAGAUAUCAACAAAUUAUUUUUACUAAAUUGUUAGUUGCGACAUGUCGUAACUUAAUAAUUUUGGUUGAAAGGGUGUGUAGUCAAUAAAUGGGAGUUUUAGCCCCUAUCAUAUCUAAAAUAAUGCGUAAAGUGAUAUAACUUAUUAACCAUACAUAUUAGAGACCUAGGGUCUUUUGAUUUGAGAUCCUUGGGCCAAAAAAAUGAAAAUUAGGUCAAGGUCAAAGGUCAAGGUCAUAUUCUAAAUUUUUGAUUUUGGCUUAUUUUCACUCAUUUUCAUUAACCUUAUAAGAUAUCGACAAAUUAUUUUUACUAAAUUGUUAGUUGCGACAUGUCGUAACUUAAUAAUUUUGGUUGAAAGGGUGCGUAGUCAAUAAACGGGAGUUUUAGCCCCUAUCAUAUCUAAAAUUAUGCGUAAAGUGAUAUAACUUAUUAACCAUACAUAUUAGAGACCUAGGGUCUUUUGAUUUGAGAUCCUCAGUUUGUGACCUUGAAAUUGAGGUCAAGGUCAUAGGUAAAUUUGACGUUCUAGAUUAUGACCUUUGCUUAAAAUUCAUAUCUAUACAUCACAAUGCCAUAGGAACUGACAUUUUAGACUGAUUUUUAAUAAUUUAAUAUCAAAAUAGAUAUUUACUGGUGGAA